This is an RNA transcript of Eubalaena glacialis (North Atlantic right whale), 1722 nucleotides long. RefSeq lists it as uncharacterized. The transcript has 5 exons. NCBI's taxonomy places the organism in Eukaryota, Metazoa, Chordata, Mammalia, Artiodactyla, Balaenidae. The record is from RefSeq and is a predicted model, not a curated record.
GGCUGUUGGUGGGAGAAGGACUGAGAGCGGCCCAGGCUCGCCUGGUGCCUCUCGACCAAGUCCCGGACGGCAGGGCUGCUGGGGCUGCUCUUGCGAGAGAGAGGCCGGGCCUCGGGCGGAGGGUGGGACACGCUGGCGGUGAACUGCAGCUUCAGUUUCAUGUGCUGGCUCAGCUGGGGUAGGGAGACAUGGAUCAGCCACCCAGCUCGGCUUCCAGGCCCCCGACCUCCUUUCAGGUCAUCUUCCCCACUUGACAGGCCGAAGUCGGAUCUAAAUUCCACCUUCCCUCCGCGCGGCUUUGUAGCACCACCCAUUAUGCUUCAGCCACAGAAGCCAGCGGCCCUGACUCCUUCCACCUGACGCUCUGCCUCACCCAGCACACAGCCUGGCCCCCACCAGCCCACCUCGAAGAGCCCCGUCCUCAGAGCCUGGAAGGCCACACUGAAGGCAGCUGGGUUGUGGAAAGGGUGAAGAGGUCAGAAGAGUCAAGGCCGCCCGCAGCGCCAACGUUCCCUUUAAGAUCUGCGGUACGUGGUUCUCGCCCUCCCCUCUCCUCACCCGUCAUCGGCCUCCCGCUUCCCUCCAGCGUCCCUCUCCCCUCCGGUCUUUGGAGCCCAGCAGACCGCCCCUCCGCCCUGUGCCGUGUCGCCCCGAGCUCCUCACCGUGGUCGCUCCCCCUGAGGUAGCAGGGCCCGGACCGUGGGUGAGGAGGGGGCUGCAGCCUCGAAACAACCCCCCACCACCAGGGUCCCCGCCCCCCGGGGGUUCGGGAUCCUGGUCGCCGGAGCCACCGCCCACGGGCGCCCCUCCGGCGCUGACCGAGGCCAGGGCGGCCAGCGCGGUCGCCAGUUCUGCCCAGGCCCCUCGGGAGCCCAAGCCCGGGCCGCCUCCGGCGCCGGACCCCACGCCGCCCCGGCAGCGCAGCACCAGCAGGAAGCGGACAGUCUCCCCCAGGUAGAGGUGGUUGCGCCGGGGCAGCGCCCGGUACCGGCCCGGGUCCCCCGCCAGCUCCGCGCGUGGCGGCAGCGGCACGGCCGGGAAGUACAUCGAGUAGUCGCACUGGGACUCCAUGGGCGGCGAGGGCGGCGCGGGCCGGGGAGCGAGGUGGGCCGUGGCCGGCGGAGGGCGAGGGGGCCGCUGGGGUGGGCCCGGGGAGCCCCGAGCCCCGACCGGUGCUGCGCGCGGCCGGACCGGCCCGACAGACCAGCCGGGGCCGGGAACCGGGGCAACGAGCCCGGAACCGAGACCCCGUGGGGCCGGAACCGGGGUGCUGGGCCGAAUGACUGGAGAGACACCGGAAGCGGAAGGGAAGGGGCGUGGCCCCGGAGGCGCCGCAAUUUGUGGGCGACCGGAUUUUGGACAAGAGGAGCGGCGUGUGCCUGUGGUUAGGCUGCUGCACGAAGGGUUUAGCUUUCUGCAGAACAAAAGACUCAUUCAGGCGACCAAAGGAAAGAAGGAAAGAAGAAAGGAGAAUAACAGACAAGAGUUGAAAGCAGACAUUGUCGAGGACAUGACAAGAUGAAGGUGCUCAGACCCAGAGGGUGGACAGCUUGCCCAAACUCAAUCCCAGGGGACAGGUUCCAAGAUAAGCAGGCAGAAAUGAACUGCUGGUCACAGAGGCUCUGGGCUAAAGCACCAUCCCUUCGAGGAGGGCGAGGAGGCCGGGCCGGGGGGGCCACAGCUGCUGCCCCAGCCAUCCAGUCAUCCGCAUAGUGCUGUCCC